This 543-nucleotide long non-coding RNA is filed under the name Elaeis guineensis (African oil palm). RNAcentral's name for it is "long non-coding RNA (EGUI_LNC024754)". Lineage: Eukaryota; Viridiplantae; Streptophyta; Magnoliopsida; Arecales; Arecaceae. The record is from RNAcentral.
CUCGAGAAAAUUCAGAGACAAGUUCAACUAAGGAUGGCCUCCUACCAACAAAGGGUAGUUCGGUACUACAACCUUCGACUCAAAUCCAAAACCUUCCAAGUGGGAGACUUAGUCAUCAAAAGAGCCAAAAUCUCCAAACCGACCAAACAAGAAAAGUUGUCUCUGAAUUGGUAAGGCCCCUACAGGAUCUUAGUAGUUUUGUGACAUCCGAGGGCCUACAAAAUCAAAAACUUAGACAGCAAAAAAAUCUCUCGGAUCUGAAAUGUUGAGAAUCUAUGAAUGUACUAUCAAUAAGAAUAUCUUCUUUUCAGUGCCCAGCAGUUCAAGUGUUUGAAAAUCUAUAAAACAACAACUUCUUUAUCGGCUACUAUCUGACGAAGGAUUAGUUGGCUGACACCCAAUUGAUGGAGUCGGGAUGGAUCCAUCGACUGUAAGCACGCCUGCUUAGGCUCAAGGCCUGCAGCACCGAAUUGCACACGAGAUCUAGGUGAAAUCAUAGCAUUGUUCGACUAACAACCGAUCACCAGAGUCGUAUGGCCGGGC